UCACCGUGGACUUGAGUAGCUGCAUUUUCCUUGCGCCUUCCUACAGAAGCCUCCCCUGCAUUCUUCUUCUUCUUUUUGUUGUUGCAUCGCAUGCUAGCUUAGAUUGCUCCACUCGAAUUUGCUAGUUCAUCUGAAUCGUCCUUGGUGGAACUCACAUCCAAGCGGAAGAACAAAGCAGAAACAAGAAGCGGGGGGAGACGGUGAAUCGAGAGCCUUCAAGGUAAUUUUUUCUUUUUCUUAUCCAUCUCCUUCUCCAGCUGCCUAGUUACUGGUCUAAUCCUCUUCUUAACUGAAUCGUGAAUCUGAUAUGCAAACCAUGGGUGGAAGAGGCAAGGCAGUAACAACAAGCAAGCAGGCCCGAGAAAGAGGGCUGGGGGGCAGUGACAGUCUGCCGCCAUGGAAUCGGCCACGGGGGCGUUGGCCACCCUCCUCCCAAAGCUGGGCAAGCUGCUACUCGAGGAGUACAACCUGAAGAAAACUGUCAAGAAGGGGAUAGGGGAUCUCAAAGCAGAGCUUGAGACCAUGCAGACUGCUCUUGAGAAGGUUUCCGAUGUGCCACUGGACCAGCUUGACUCACAGGUCAAACUGUGGGCUAACGAAGUCAGGGAUCUGUCUUAUGUCAUCGAAGAUAGCCUUGACUCCUUCAUCGGACGCGUCGAGGGGCUUGAGCUAGCGAAAAAGCCCAACCCUCUCAAGGACUUCGUCAAGAAGGCCUCUGACAAGAUCACCAGGUUCAAGGCUCGCAACAAAUUUGUCAAUGGCAUGGAAGACACCGAGACUCAAAUUAGGUAAUGAACGUUUUGCAAGGUACAAAAUCAGCGAUGUUGUUGCUAAUCCUGUGACAAGUACAGUCGAUCCUCGUCACUUUGCAAUGUAUAGCAAGGUAUCUGCCCUUGUUGGCAUUGACAAAGCAAUUGAGGAGCUGACGAAGAGAUUGUGCAAGGCCAAUGAUCUCCAUAAGAAAAAUCUCAAGACAGUCUCUGGCGUUGGGAUCGGAGGAUUGGGCAAGAGAACUGUAGCAAAAGCAUUGUAUGACAAGCUUAACAAGAAAUUUGAUUGUGGGUGUUUUGUUCCAGAUGGUCAGAAUCCUGACAUGAAGAAACUUCUCAAGGAUAUCCUCUAUGAUCUUGACAAGAAAAAGUACAUAAACAUCAUUGGCUCAAAAAUGGAUGAAAAGCAACUCACCGAUGAGAUGCUAGAAUUCCUCAAGGAAAAGAGCCUUCUUCCCAAAAUGAAAGUACCAGCAGUGCUGUUCCUCUGGACAUGUCAAAAGAAAAAACUGAAGAGAAGAAAAGACCCUCAAUUGGAGUAACGGGAGAGCUUGUUAAACCUGGUGUAAGUUGCAGGUCUGAACCGCUAGGUCUUGGUCUUGGUGGAGGCCUGCCGCAGCCUAAGAGAAGGAGCAGAACAGGAAAGCCAUCUGGGAUUAGUGGUGAUCCUACCAGCAAAAGCCAAGAAGUUGUUGGGGCAAGCAGCAGCAGGACUACGGAUUCUCACUCUCUAUCCUAAACGGAUCAUGAGUUGCUCGCUGUGUAUGGAAGAACAAUGCGUAAUAUUUUGUCAAAUUUGACAGCUACAAUCGGAUGCUCAAGUUCGCCACCUUAUUUGGAGAGCAAGAUGCAAGAUUGUGCCCAGAACCCUGCCACUACUUGGAAAAGGCAUGCUAGUGGCGCACCAGUUUUGCCUACUAAUGGCGCACUACUGGUGCGCCACUAGCAUCACACCAUUAGAAUUAAAUUUUAAUGGUGCACCACUGGUACGUCAUUAGUAUCUGGUGUUCUAAUGGCGCAUCACAUGUGCGUCAUUAGUAUAGCCCACAAUGUGCCAUUAGAAUGCCUUCCAGGGGGCCAUAUGUACCCAAGUGCUUUGGCUUACUAAUGGCGCAUCAGUGGGUGAUGCGCCAUUAGUGUGAUUAUUACAGUGCAUCAUUAGUGUCU
This is a long non-coding RNA of Triticum dicoccoides, 1937 nucleotides long. RefSeq lists it as uncharacterized. The transcript is spliced from 4 exons. The record is from RefSeq and is a predicted model, not a curated record. NCBI's taxonomy places the organism in Eukaryota, Viridiplantae, Streptophyta, Magnoliopsida, Poales, Poaceae.